Molecule: non-coding RNA, 45 nt
Organism: Schistosoma rodhaini
Lineage: Eukaryota; Metazoa; Platyhelminthes; Trematoda; Strigeidida; Schistosomatidae
Source: Rfam
AUCCAGCUGACGAGUCUCAAAUGAAACGAAACACGCGUCCUGGAU